GUGGGGAAUCUUCCGCAAUGGACGAAAGUCUGACGGAGCAACGCCGCGUGAGUGAUGAAGGUCUUCGGAUUGUAAAGCUCUGUUAAUCGGGACGAAAGAGCCUAGUGUGAAUAAUGCUAGGAAGUGACGGUACCGGAAUAGAAAGCCACGGCUAACUACGUGCCAGCAGCCGCGGUAAUACGUAGGUGGCAAGCGUUGUCCGGAAUUAUUGGGCGUAAAGCGCGCGCAGGCGGAUCUGCCAGUCUGUCUUAAAAGGUCGGGGCUUAACCCCGUGAUGGGAUGGAAACUACAGAUCUAGAGUAUCGGAGAGGAAAGUGGAAUUCCUAGUGUAGCGGUGAAAUGCGUAGAUAUUAGGAAGAACACCAGUGGCGAAGGCGACUUUCUGGACGAAAACUGACGCUGAGGCGCGAAAGCCAGGGGAGCGAACGGGAUUAGAUACCCCGGUAGUCC
RNAcentral lists this ribosomal RNA (450 nucleotides) under uncultured bacterium. Its description in RNAcentral is "partial 16S ribosomal RNA". It matches the Rfam family "Bacterial small subunit ribosomal RNA", at positions 354 to 796 of the family's 1533-position model. The record is from RNAcentral.